RNAcentral lists this ribosomal RNA (832 nucleotides) under Streptomyces sp. IM-0086. Its description in RNAcentral is "bacterial SSU rRNA". It matches the Rfam family "Bacterial small subunit ribosomal RNA", at positions 38 to 889 of the family's 1533-position model. Lineage: Bacteria; Bacillati; Actinomycetota; Actinomycetes; Kitasatosporales; Streptomycetaceae. The record is from RNAcentral.
GGCGGCGUGCUUAACACAUGCAAGUCGAACGAUGAAGCCUUCGGGGUGGAUUAGUGGCGAACGGGUGAGUAACACGUGGGCAAUCUGCCCUUCACUCUGGGACAAGCCCUGGAAACGGGGUCUAAUACCGGAUAACACGUUUCCUCCUGGACGGGGGUUAAAAGCUCCGGCGGUGAAGGAUGAGCCCGCGGCCUAUCAGCUUGUUGGUGAGGUAAUGGCUCACCAAGGCGACGACGGGUAGCCGGCCUGAGAGGGCGACCGGCCACACUGGGACUGAGACACGGCCCAGACUCCUACGGGAGGCAGCAGUGGGGAAUAUUGCACAAUGGGCGAAAGCCUGAUGCAGCGACGCCGCGUGAGGGAUGACGGCUUCGGGUUGUAAACCUCUUUCAGCAGGGAAGAAGCGAAAGUGACGGUACCUGCAGAAGAAGCGCCGGCUAACUACGUGCCAGCAGCCGCGGUAAUACGUAGGGCGCAAGCGUUGUCCGGAAUUAUUGGGCGUAAAGAGCUCGUAGGCGGCUUGUCACGUCGGGUGUGAAAGACCGGGGCUUAACCCCGGGUCUGCAUUCGAUACGGGCUAGCUAGAGUGUGGUAGGGGAGAUCGGAAUUCCUGGUGUAGCGGUGAAAUGCGCAGAUAUCAGGAGGAACACCGGUGGCGAAGGCGGAUCUCUGGGCCAUUACUGACGCUGAGGAGCGAAAGCGUGGGGAGCGAACAGGAUUAGAUACCCUGGUAGUCCACGCCGUAAACGGUGGGAACUAGGUGUUGGCGACAUUCCACGUCGUCGGUGCCGCAGCUAACGCAUUAAGUUCCCCGCCUGGGGAGUACGGCCGC